AUGGCCAAAGGCCCAAAGGUAUCACACCCCGAGUAUGUUGAUUUCAAUAGUGAUGAAGAUGAUUUGCUAGGUGAUGAUGAUUUACUUGUUGACAACUCUAGUGAUGGAAACUAUGAUGAACUUGCUAUUAAUCGUGCUAAUCAAGAUAAAAUGAAUGAUGAUGAUAAGAAGGAGAUUGAGCGGCUAACUAAAGAACUUAAGUUAGCUCAUGAAACUACCUUGGAAGAUCAUCAAGAAGUUUUAAAGACUCAUGAGAAGCUACGCUUUGAAAAGCUCAACCUUGAGCAAGAGCAUGGGUUCUUAGCUAUCAAUGAUGAUCUUCGCAAGAAAAGUUCUUCUUACAUUGCCAAGCGUUUACUCUUGUCUACUUACAUGCCACAAGUUAAAUCUAGCAACAAGAGAAAGAAAGAUUCUUCUUCUAGUAGUAACAAUAAUCAUGUUAAAUCCAAUAUUGUUGCUUCUAGUAGUUCUCUUGAUUCCACUAACGAUUCUCUUAGCCAAGUUACACUUGAGCAAGAAAAUAGCUUAUUGAAGGAAAUUAUAGAGAAAGGUGUUUACAAGAGCCUUGCCGGGAGUAAGCAAUUUGAGGAAAUUGUACGCAAGCAAGGAAGGCACUGGAAGAAUCAAGGUGUUGGUUUUGAACGAAAGUUCAAUGCCAUGGAGUUGAGUGGGAAGAAGCAAUACCCCAAGACGAAGUUUGUUCCUCAACAAGAGAAGUAUGAUCCUACUUCUUUCCAAGGGACACAAGCUCAAGAUGAUCUUUCACCACAAGACCACAAGCAGAAGGGCAAGGACAAGCUUCAAGAGGAGAUUGAUGCAUUUGAAGAAGCUCCUAAGGCCUUGGUCAAGUGGGUUCCCAAGUGUACAUCAAUUUCUACUUCAUCAAGUACGACUACAACUCCAAGGAUUCCCAUCAAGAUGAUGUGGAUCCCGAAGAAGAAGAACUAG
RNAcentral lists this ribosomal RNA (948 nucleotides) under Triticum aestivum (bread wheat). RNAcentral's name for it is "partial small subunit ribosomal RNA". The record is from RNAcentral. Lineage: Eukaryota; Viridiplantae; Streptophyta; Magnoliopsida; Poales; Poaceae.